Molecule: ribosomal RNA, 496 nt
Filed under: uncultured bacterium
Lineage: Bacteria
Description: partial 16S ribosomal RNA
Rfam family: Bacterial small subunit ribosomal RNA
Source: RNAcentral
GAUGAACGCUGGCGGCGUGCCUAAUACAUGCAAGUCGAGCGAACAGACGAGGAGCUUGCUCCUCUGACGUUAGCGGCGGACGGGUGAGUAACACGUGGAUAACCUACCUAUAAGACUGGGAUAACUUCGGGAAACCGGAGCUAAUACCGGAUAAUAUAUUGAACCGCAUGGUUCAAUAGUGAAAGACGGUUUUGCUGUCACUUAUAGAUGGAUCCGCGCCGCAUUAGCUAGUUGGUAAGUUAACGGCUUACCAAGGCAACGAUGCGUAGCCGACCUGAGAGGGUGAUCGGCAACACUGGAACUGAGACACGGUCCAGACUCCUACGGGAGGCAGCAGUAGGGAAUCUUCCGCAAUGGGCGAAAGCCUGACGGAGCAACGCCGCGUGAGUGAUGAAGGUCUUCGGAUCGUAAAACUCUGUUAUUGGGGAAGACCAAAUGUGUAAGUAACUAUGCACGUCUUGACGGUACCUAAACAGAAAGCCACGGCUAACUACGU